GUGGGGAAUCUUGCGCAAUGGGCGAAAGCCUGACGCAGCCAUGCCGCGUGAAUGAUGAAGGUCUUAGGAUUGUAAAAUUCUUUCACCGGGGACGAUAAUGACGGUACCCGGAGAAGAAGCCCCGGCUAACUUCGUGCCAGCAGCCGCGGUAAUACGAAGGGGGCUAGCGUUGCUCGGAAUUACUGGGCGUAAAGGGAGCGUAGGCGGACAUUUAAGUCAGGGGUGAAAUCCCGGGGCUCAACCUCGGAAUUGCCUUUGAUACUGGGUGUCUUGAGUACGGGAGAGGUGAGUGGAACUCCGAGUGUAGAGGUGAAAUUCGUAGAUAUUCGGAGGAACACCAGUGGCGAAGGCGGCUCACUGGCUCGAUACUGACGCUGAGGUGCGAAAGCGUGGGGAGCAAACAGGAUUAGAAACCCGUGUAGUCC
This 425-nucleotide ribosomal RNA is filed under the name uncultured bacterium. Its description in RNAcentral is "partial 16S ribosomal RNA". It matches the Rfam family "Bacterial small subunit ribosomal RNA", at positions 354 to 796 of the family's 1533-position model. The record is from RNAcentral.